RNAcentral lists this unclassified non-coding RNA (240 nucleotides) under soil metagenome. Its description in RNAcentral is "partial contains 5.8S ribosomal RNA, internal transcribed spacer 2, and large subunit ribosomal RNA". The record is from RNAcentral.
AACGCACGAGACCUGCGGACCUGCGGAGGGAUCAUUACUGAAGUGAUUUGGGGAUGUUGCUGGCCCUCUCUCAAGGGGGGGCACUGUGCACUCCUCGAAACAAUUCACAAUUUCCAUCACACCCCUUGUGCACACCUUGUAGGCACCCAAACCCACCUCCGGGUGGUGGGGUCCUAUGUAUUCCUUCAUCUCACACUCUGUUGAAUGGUGCCAUGGUACGCAUCUAAAGGAUUAUUUGUA